This 72-nucleotide transfer RNA is filed under the name Bos taurus (domestic cattle). It matches the Rfam family "tRNA". Rfam says of the family: Transfer RNA (tRNA) molecules are approximately 80 nucleotides in length. Their secondary structure includes four short double-helical elements and three loops (D, anti-codon, and T loops). RNAcentral also lists the same sequence under 1 other name. Lineage: Eukaryota; Metazoa; Chordata; Mammalia; Artiodactyla; Bovidae. The record is from Rfam by way of RNAcentral.
UCCCAUGUGACUUAGUGGGUAAAGAAUCCGCCUGUAAUGUGGGAGACUUGGGUUCGAUCCCUGGGUUGGGAA